RNAcentral lists this unclassified non-coding RNA (310 nucleotides) under Borreliella bissettiae. RNAcentral's name for it is "Borreliella bissettii partial 16S-23S ribosomal RNA intergenic spacer". The record is from RNAcentral. Lineage: Bacteria; Pseudomonadati; Spirochaetota; Spirochaetia; Spirochaetales; Borreliaceae.
GUAUUCCAUCGUUUUAAGUAUGGCAAUGUUAGCUUUAAGCCAUAGUUAAUAAUGUAAAAAUCCUAAAAUCUAAAAUUGUACCUACUAUUAAACAAAGCUUAAUUAAAGCUGAAGCUGAAUACUACCAAACACCUACUAAAAGUUUAUUUUUUCUAAAUUUUAAACUAAAAAUUUACCUCAACUUCAAAAACUUUUUCAUAAAAAUAAAAGCAAAAAGAAUAAUCAAUAAAAUUAGCCUUAAUUUAUCUUUCUAUUUAAAAGAGGCUAAUCCAAGCCAUACUGGAAAGUACGAGCUUCUUGUUACGACUUC